RNAcentral lists this ribosomal RNA (301 nucleotides) under uncultured bacterium. Its description in RNAcentral is "partial 16S ribosomal RNA". It matches the Rfam family "Bacterial small subunit ribosomal RNA", at positions 509 to 807 of the family's 1533-position model. The record is from RNAcentral.
CAGUAGCCACGGGAAUGCGUAGGUGGCAAGUGUUGUCCGGAAUUAUUGGGCGUAAAGGGCUCGCAGGCGGUUUCUUAAGUCUGAUGUGAAAGCCCCCGGCUCAACCGGGGAGGGUCAUUGGAAACUGGGAAACUUGAGUGCAGAAGAGGAGAGUGGAAUUCCACGUGUAGCGGUGAAAUGCGUAGAGAUGUGGAGGAACACCAGUGGCGAAGGCGACUCUCUGGUCUGUAACUGACGCUGAGGAGCGAAAGCGUGGGGAGCGAACAGGAUUAGAUACCCGUGUAGUCCCUGUCUCUUAUAC